AGAUUGAACGCUGGCGGAAUGCUUUACACAUGCAAGUCGAACGGCAGCACGGGGGCAACCCUGGUGGCGAGUGGCGAACGGGUGAGUAAUACAUCGGAACGUGCCCAGUCGUGGGGGAUAACGUAGCGAAAGCUACGCUAAUACCGCAUACGAACUCUGGUUGAAAGCGGGGGAUCGCAAGACCUCGCGCGAUUGGAGCGGCCGAUGGCAGUAUUAGGUAGUUGGGUAGGGGUAAAGGCUCACCAACGCCUGGACGAUUCUGUAGCUGGUCUAGAGAGGACGACACGCCACACGUGGGACUGACGACACCGGCCA
RNAcentral lists this ribosomal RNA (315 nucleotides) under uncultured soil bacterium. Its description in RNAcentral is "bacterial SSU rRNA". It matches the Rfam family "Bacterial small subunit ribosomal RNA", at positions 26 to 333 of the family's 1533-position model. The record is from RNAcentral.